RNAcentral lists this long non-coding RNA (521 nucleotides) under Vulpes vulpes (red fox). Its description in RNAcentral is "lncRNA (ENSVVUG00000010138.1)". Lineage: Eukaryota; Metazoa; Chordata; Mammalia; Carnivora; Canidae. The record is from RNAcentral.
AAAAAACAAAAUAAAACCAAAAAAAAACUGAACAAGCACUAUUUCUGAAUAUUGCUCUGCAGAUAACUUGAAGCAUUUCUGGUUUAGCAUGGCACUCAGGACUGGAGAGAGCCCCUCUCUUGCUUCUUUGUCCUUUGGGUCAUCAAAUCUAUCUACCUAAUUCCUUGAAGAACGUCUUGCAAGCAAUUCAGACAAACAUAGUUCUACUCAAAACAUCUGUGUGAAAGGAGCUAAGGAUCCCUUUUCCAGGUGGCAGAGGUAUCACUUUGGACUUAGAAGUUUCAGCAAAAUGUCUCAAAGCAUCCCUCCAGGUGUGGUACUUCUUCCUCCUGACAACAGAGGACUUGGUGUGGAAUUCUCUGAGAUGUCUCCUUGCCUUCACUCUGCACUAGGGGCCACAGACAAGAGCUUUGCCCAGGAAAUGAAAAUAAAAGCCAUAUCCUAUGAGGGUUGGACACUGGGAGUCUAAGGAUUCCUUUUAUGUUGAAAACCAAUAAACUCUCUACUCUCAAUAAGGACCA